RNAcentral lists this ribosomal RNA (468 nucleotides) under uncultured bacterium. Its description in RNAcentral is "partial 16S ribosomal RNA". It matches the Rfam family "Bacterial small subunit ribosomal RNA", at positions 28 to 507 of the family's 1533-position model. The record is from RNAcentral.
GACGAACGCUGGCGGCGUGCUUAACACAUGCAAGUCGAACGGAAAGGCCCUGCUUUUGUGGGGUGCUCGAGUGGCGAACGGGUGAGUAACACGUGAGUAACCUGCCCUUGACUUUGGGAUAACUUCAGGAAACUGGGGCUAAUACCGGAUAGGAGCUCCUGCUGCAUGGUGGGGGUUGGAGAGUUUCGGCGGUUGGGGAUGGACUCGCGGCUUAUCAGCUUGUUGGUGGGGUAGUGGCUUACCAAGGCGUCGACGGGUAGCCGGCCUGAGAGGGUGACCGGCCACAUUGGGACUGAGAUACGGCCCAGACUCCUACGGGAGGCAGCAGUGGGGAAUAUUGCACAAUGGGCGGAAGCCUGAUGCAGCAACGCCGCGUGCGGGAUGACGGCCUUCGGGUUGUAAACCGCUUUCGCCUGUGACGAAGCGUGAGUGACGGUAAUGGGUAAAGAAGCACCGGCUAACUACGUG